This 538-nucleotide small RNA is filed under the name Diaporthe sp. M9. Its description in RNAcentral is "eukaryotic LSU rRNA". The stretch from base 174 to 327 matches the Rfam family "5.8S ribosomal RNA". The record is from RNAcentral. Lineage: Eukaryota; Fungi; Ascomycota; Sordariomycetes; Diaporthales; Diaporthaceae.
UUGCUGGACGCGCCCCAGGCGCACCCAGAAACCCUUUGUGAACUUAUACCUUACUGUUGCCUCGGCGCUGCUGGCCUCCGGGCCCUUUAUUAUACAGUAAAGAAAAGGCACGCCGGUGGCCAAAACAACUCUUGUUAUUAAUUGAAACUCUGAGCAAAACAAAAAUGAAUCAAAACUUUCAACAACGGAUCUCUUGGUUCUGGCAUCGAUGAAGAACGCAGCGAAAUGCGAUAAGUAAUGUGAAUUGCAGAAUUCAGUGAAUCAUCGAAUCUUUGAACGCACAUUGCGCCCUCUGGUAUUCCGGAGGGCAUGCCUGUUCGAGCGUCAUUUCAACCCUCAAGCAUUGCUUGGUGUUGGGGCACUGCUACACCCAGGAGCAGGCCCUGAAAUUCAUCGGCGAGCCCGCCGGGACCCCGAGCGCAGUAGUUAAACCCUCGCUUGGAAGGCCCUGGCGGUGCCCUGCCGUUAAACCCCCAACUUUUUGAAAAUUUGACCUCGGAUCAGGUAGGAAUACCCGCUGAACUUAAGCAAAUUUCCC